GUUAGGUUAAAAGAGAGUCAAAUGUGGUUUUAGAGAUAUUAUGCUUGGUUAUCUUUUGACAGGAUUAGACGAGAAUUGAAUGAUGGAGAGUGAAGUAGGAAGGAGUUGGACUCAAGAAAGGAUGAAAAAGGUGCAAAGGAAGAAUCGCAGCCACCGCUCAGCGCCAGUUUCAGCGCUGAGCGCCAGCUUUGUGAAGAGAGCCAAUGUCAAACGCUUAAAAGCCAA
RNAcentral lists this long non-coding RNA (225 nucleotides) under Vigna radiata. RNAcentral's name for it is "long non-coding RNA (VRAD_LNC006103)". Lineage: Eukaryota; Viridiplantae; Streptophyta; Magnoliopsida; Fabales; Fabaceae. The record is from RNAcentral.